RNAcentral lists this small RNA (192 nucleotides) under Burkholderia glumae BGR1. Its description in RNAcentral is "Proteobacterial sRNA psRNA2". It matches the Rfam family "Proteobacterial sRNA psRNA2". Lineage: Bacteria; Pseudomonadati; Pseudomonadota; Betaproteobacteria; Burkholderiales; Burkholderiaceae. The record is from Rfam by way of RNAcentral.
GGGUUACUCCUUGGCGCUUGCGCGCUGUUUUGAUGAAGAUUCGCACCUCUAUCAAAACGGGUAACCCCGCCUCUUGGCAAGGCCUUACUGUCAGAUCAAGUCUGAACUUCUACACCUUACUUGAGGCUGCCCGAGAGGAAUUGCUUCAGGCGCUCGCUGCGCGUGUUGCCGAACACCUCGGCGGGCGCGCCU